AUUCAAAUAGCUUAUAUUUAGAGUAUGACACUGAAGAUGUUAGGGAGAUUAAUUUGAUCUUUGAAUA
RNAcentral lists this transfer RNA (67 nucleotides) under Lucilia sericata (common green bottle fly). Its description in RNAcentral is "tRNA-Phe". The record is from RNAcentral. Lineage: Eukaryota; Metazoa; Arthropoda; Insecta; Diptera; Calliphoridae.